GGGGGGGGGCGCCUACCAUGCAGUCGAGCGCAAUCCUUCGGGAUCGAGCGGCGGACGGGUUAGUAACGCGUGGGAACAUACCCUUCUCUAAGGAAUAGCCUCGGGAAACUGAGAGUAAUACCUUAUACGCCCUUCGGGGGAAAGAUUUAUCGGAGAAGGAUUGGCCCGCGUAAGAUUAGAUAGUUGGUGGGGUAAUGGCCUACCAAGUCUACGAUCUUUAGCUGGUUUGAGAGGAUGAUCAGCAACACUGGGACUGAGACACGGCCCAGACUCCUACGGGAGGCAGCAGUGGGGAAUCUUAGACAAUGGGCGAAAGCCUGAUCUAGCGAUGCCGCGUGUGUGACGAAGGCCUUAGGGUCGUAAAGCACUUUCGCCAAGGAUGAUAAUGACAGUACUUGGUAAAGAAACCCCGGCUAACUCCGUGCCAGCAGCCGCGGUAAC
Molecule: ribosomal RNA, 441 nt
Filed under: uncultured Octadecabacter sp.
Lineage: Bacteria; Pseudomonadati; Pseudomonadota; Alphaproteobacteria; Rhodobacterales; Roseobacteraceae
Description: bacterial SSU rRNA
Rfam family: Bacterial small subunit ribosomal RNA
Source: RNAcentral